ACUUACCUAGAUAAUAUGAUUAAUCAACUUUUGAUUAAGUUGCUCAUUGAUUCGUGCUAACCCAUACUGUAUAAGUAAAUCAGUGUGACUGAUUUAGGUGCUUCUAAAUUGACCAGCUAGUCUUGAGUUCUCUUCAUGACUUGGUGAAGUCAGUGGAAAGAUUUAUAACUAGUUGGGUAGACCAGAUUAAGCUUAAUCUUCUUUGAUCUAACUUGGUGAAGUUAGUAAGAGAAUUAAGAAUAGC
RNAcentral lists this long non-coding RNA (244 nucleotides) under Elaeis guineensis (African oil palm). Its description in RNAcentral is "long non-coding RNA (EGUI_LNC053686)". The record is from RNAcentral. Lineage: Eukaryota; Viridiplantae; Streptophyta; Magnoliopsida; Arecales; Arecaceae.